GAAAGAGUAUUUCAAACAUUUUUUUUUCACAUAUCUUCAACCCCUUUUCUCUGGUACCAGUCUUUUAUAGACUCUGGUGGUUCACCAAAGUGCCCACACCUGAGCCCACUCUCACUGAGGACACAACCAACCAUCUGCAGAUGUGACCUCCUGAAUACAAACGACUCCUUAGGAGAGAGUCUCUGCCUUUCCCACAAGUAUUCCUAUAAACCAAACCUCUACAAAAAUUAGUUUUGUUGCAAAAGACCAGAGGCUGUAUUUCAAAGGUAUUUAGAAGUCUGAACAUAAAUAUACAUUUAGUGCACUUUCCAAAGAACUUCCCCUCACGUGGUGCAUGAUCACUUGAGCCAUCAGCAAAUGCAAGGACUGAUGUGCAGCUAACUGCUGACAAGUGAUACUAAUGAAAGGUCUUUCAAAGGACUCGGAUGCAGAAGACUCCACUCAAAGAGGAAUGUUAUGCCCAAUGUAUUUGUGUCCAGAAUAAGAUUUCUCUCUUCCAUGUGACUGUCACAGCAAUCAUAACUAAUCUUGACUUGUCCCAUACUAUUCACAACUGGAACUGACCCUGUGUUGAAAUUGUAAAACGUUAAAGUAUAAAUUUUCAAGAAAAAUUAUUUUCUUCUUAUAAUACUUAAUAAUUUACCCCUCCUUAAAGUUCUGUAUUAUUAAACAUUAUUUAUUAAAUCAAA
Long non-coding RNA from Passer domesticus (house sparrow), 689 nucleotides. RefSeq lists it as uncharacterized. Lineage: Eukaryota; Metazoa; Chordata; Aves; Passeriformes; Passeridae. The transcript is spliced from 2 exons. The record is from RefSeq and is a predicted model, not a curated record.